UUGCUUGGCUUACUAAAGGGGAAAAGCAGCAGCACCAGGAAUGAUUUGCUAAUCUUCUUGUCUCUACUUUUAUUUGUUAAAAAGGGGAUUCCACUAAAGCAAAAACAAAUGAAGCUUAAACAACUAGAAAGCCUUUUAGGCGAUCUUCAACAAUUCUCAAACCCAAAGGUGGAGCUCGAACAGUACCCAACUGGACCUCAUAUCGCUUCUCGCUUGCUUUACACUGCUGAGAAUUCGUUUGAGGAUAUUAGCAACAAGGUGGUGGCAGAUUUUGGUUGUGGAUGUGGCACUCUAGGCGCUGCUGCUGCUCUCUUGGGUGCUGAGCAGGUUAUUGGCAUUGAUAUUGAUUCUCAAUCUCUUGAAAUAGCUUCUAUGAAUGCUGAAGAUCUUGAGUUGGACAUAGAUUUUGUUCAUUGUGACAUCAGUGGUCUAGGAUGGAGAGGUCAAAUUGUUGAUACUGUUGUGAUGAAUCCUCCAUUUGGAACUCGAAAGAAGGGUGUUGACAUGGAUUUUCUAUUUGUGGCAUUGAAGGUAGCUUCUCGAGCUGUUUAUUCCUUGCAUAAGACCUCGACAAGAGAUUAUAUCAAAAGGACCGCCUCAAGGGACUUAAAUGCUAGCAGCGCUGAGGUCUUGUGCGAGGUCAGUAAAAGAAGCUUCACAAUUUACUGACAUUUCGAUUUUAAACCACAAAAUGUUUGUCAUUGCUUUGCCGAGUUGCUUUUGAAUCCCACUCCCCCGUUUCAUCUCCAGCUCCGUUUUGACGUUCCGCAACUAUACAAAUUUCACAAGAAAAAGGAGGUGGAUAUCGCCGUGGAUCUAUGGCGAUUCGUUCCCAGACGGAGUCGUGGGAAGGACGAUUAACUUUGGAAGUGCAGUUUAGGACCAUGCUUGAAGAAUAACUUGUUUAUUUCUAGUAUGUUAAUUUAAGACACUCGGUUAAAUUUCUAUAUAUCAGUUUCCUAGUAGUGUUCUUAAA
Molecule: RNA transcript, 976 nt
Organism: Hibiscus syriacus
Lineage: Eukaryota; Viridiplantae; Streptophyta; Magnoliopsida; Malvales; Malvaceae
Gene name: rRNA N6-adenosine-methyltransferase METTL5-like
Exons: 9
Source: RefSeq, a predicted model, not a curated record